GAAGGGGGUAUAAACACAAAGAACUGCUAAUUC
RNAcentral lists this transfer RNA (33 nucleotides) under Carinascincus pretiosus. RNAcentral's name for it is "partial tRNA-Ser". The record is from RNAcentral. Lineage: Eukaryota; Metazoa; Chordata; Lepidosauria; Squamata; Scincidae.